UGGAUUAAGAGCUUGCUCUUAUGAAGUUAGCGGCGGACGGGUGAGUAACACGUGGGUAACCUGCCCAUAAGACUGGGAUAACUCCGGGAAACCGGGGCUAAUACCGGAUAACAUUUUGAACCGCAUGGUUCGAAAUUGAAAGGCGGCUUCGGCUGUCACUUAUGGAUGGACCCGCGUCGCAUUAGCUAGUUGGUGAGGUAACGGCUCACCAAGGCAACGAUGCGUAGCCGACCUGAGAGGGUGAUCGGCCACACUGGGACUGAGACACGGCCCAGACUCCUACGGGAGGCAGCAGUAGGGAAUCUUCCGCAAUGGACGAAAGUCUGACGGAGCAACGCCGCGUGAGUGAUGAAGGCUUUCGGGUCGUAAAACUCUGUUGUUAGGGAAGAACAAGUGCUAGUUGAAUAAGCUGGCACCUUGACGGUACCUAACCAGAAAGCCACGGCUAACUACGUGCCAGCAGCCGCGGUAAUACGUAGGUGGCAAGCGUUAUCCGGAAUUAUUGGGCGUAAAGCGCGCGCAGGUGGUUUCUUAAGUCUGAUGUGAAAGCCCACGGCUCACCCGUGGAGGGUCAUUGGAAACUGGGAGACUUGAGUGCA
RNAcentral lists this ribosomal RNA (599 nucleotides) under uncultured Bacillus sp. RNAcentral's name for it is "bacterial SSU rRNA". It matches the Rfam family "Bacterial small subunit ribosomal RNA", at positions 68 to 650 of the family's 1533-position model. The record is from RNAcentral. Lineage: Bacteria; Bacillati; Bacillota; Bacilli; Caryophanales; Bacillaceae.